This 465-nucleotide ribosomal RNA is filed under the name Vreelandella stevensii. Its description in RNAcentral is "partial 16S ribosomal RNA". It matches the Rfam family "Bacterial small subunit ribosomal RNA", at positions 338 to 795 of the family's 1533-position model. Lineage: Bacteria; Pseudomonadati; Pseudomonadota; Gammaproteobacteria; Oceanospirillales; Halomonadaceae. The record is from RNAcentral.
CCUACGGGGGUCUGCAGUGGGGAAUAUUGGACAAUGGGCGAAAGCCUGAUCCAGCCAUGCCGCGUGUGUGAAGAAGGCCUUCGGGUUGUAAAGCACUUUCAGUGGGGAAGAAAGCCUUGGGGCUAAUACCCUCGAGGAAGGACAUCACCCACAGAAGAAGCACCGGCUAACUCCGUGCCAGCAGCCGCGGUAAUACGGAGGGUGCGAGCGUUAAUCGGAAUUACUGGGCGUAAAGCGCGCGUAGGCGGUCUGAUAAGCCGGUUGUGAAAGCCCCGGGCUCAACCUGGGAACGGCAUCCGGAACUGUCAGGCUAGAGUGCAGGAGAGGAAGGUAGAAUUCCCGGUGUAGCGGUGAAAUGCGUAGAGAUCGGGAGGAAUACCAGUGGCGAAGGCGGCCUUCUGGACUGACACUGACGCUGAGGUGCGAAAGCGUGGGUAGCAAACAGGAUUAGAUACCCUAGUAGUC